RNAcentral lists this ribosomal RNA (498 nucleotides) under uncultured bacterium. RNAcentral describes it as "partial 16S ribosomal RNA". It matches the Rfam family "Bacterial small subunit ribosomal RNA", at positions 28 to 507 of the family's 1533-position model. The record is from RNAcentral.
GACGAACGCUGGCGGCGUGCCUAAUACAUGCAAGUCGAGCGGACGGAUGGGAGCUUGCUCCCAGACCGUCAGCGGCGGACGGGUGAGUAACACGUGGGCAACCUGCCUGUAAGACUGGGAUAACUCCGGGAAACCGGGGCUAAUACCGGAUAACUCUUUCCCUCACAUGGGGGAAAGCUGAAAGAUGGCAUCUCGCUAUCACUUACAGAUGGGCCCGCGGCGCAUUAGCUAGUUGGUGAGGUAACGGCUCACCAAGGCGACGAUGCGUAGCCGACCUGAGAGGGUGAUCGGCCACACUGGGACUGAGACACGGCCCAGACUCCUACGGGAGGCAGCAGUAGGGAAUCUUCCGCAAUGGACGAAAGUCUGACGGAGCAACGCCGCGUGAGUGAUGAAGGUUUUCGGAUCGUAAAACUCUGUUGUCAGGGAAGAACAAGUACCGGAGUAACUGCCGGUACCUUGACGGUACCUGACCAGAAAGCCACGGCUAACUACGUG